GACGAACGCUGGCGGCGUGCCUAACACAUGCAAGUCGAACGGAGUUGAAAGAGCUUGCUUUUUCAACUGAGUGGCGGACGGGUGAGUAACGCGUGAGUAACCUGCCUUUCAGAGGGGGAUAACGUUUGGAAACGAACGCUAAUACCGCAUAAGCUGGUAGGGCCGCAUGGUCCAGCCAGAAAAGGAGCAAUCCGCUGAAAGAUGGACUCGCGUCCGAUUAGCUAGUUGGUGGGGUAAAGGCCCACCAAGGCGACGAUCGGUAGCCGGACUGAGAGGUCGAACGGCCACAUUGGGACUGAGACACGGCCCAG
This 311-nucleotide ribosomal RNA is filed under the name uncultured bacterium. RNAcentral describes it as "bacterial SSU rRNA". It matches the Rfam family "Bacterial small subunit ribosomal RNA", at positions 28 to 334 of the family's 1533-position model. The record is from RNAcentral.